UAUUUGAUGUUUAGACCCCUCGGGAAGUUCC
Molecule: non-coding RNA, 31 nt
Filed under: Mus musculus (house mouse)
Lineage: Eukaryota; Metazoa; Chordata; Mammalia; Rodentia; Muridae
Source: RNAcentral